GCAUAUCAAUAAGCGGAGGAAAAGAAACUAACAAGGAUUCCCCUAGUAACGGCGAGUGAAGAGGGAAAAGCCCAAAUUUGUAAUCUGGCUCUUUUAUAAGGGUCCGAGUUGUAAUUUUGAGAACUGUUUUCUGUGCUGACAUGAUGUACAAGUCUAUUGAAAAACAGCAUCAUUGAGGGUGAUAAUCCCGUAUGUGAUAUGGACUACCAGGGGCAAUAUGAUACAGUCUCUAAGAGUCGAGUUGUUUGGGAAUGCAGCUCAAAGUGGGUGGUAAAUUCCAUCUAAGGCUAAAUAUAGGUGAGAGACCGAUAGCAAACAAGUACCGUGAGGGAAAGAUGAAAAGAACUUUGGAAAGAGAGUUAACAGUACGUGAAAUUGUUAAAAGGGAAACAUUUGAAGUUAGACUUGUUAUUGUUGGUUCAGCUUCUUUAUUGAGGUGUAUUCUGAUGAUUAACAGACCAGCAUCAAUUUUUGGGUGUUGGAUAAGGGUUUUGGGAAUGUGGCAGCUUCGGUUGUGUUAUAGACCAUUACUUUGAUACAAUGCUUAGGAUUGAGGAACGCAGUAAGCUUUGUUGCAGAUUUUUUCGGAAGUCUCCUUACUACGGAUGUUGGUGCAAUAGCUUUAAAUGACCCGUCUUGAAACACGGACC
This 650-nucleotide ribosomal RNA is filed under the name Thekopsora rubiae. Its description in RNAcentral is "eukaryotic LSU rRNA". It matches the Rfam family "Eukaryotic large subunit ribosomal RNA", at positions 38 to 667 of the family's 3401-position model. The record is from RNAcentral. Lineage: Eukaryota; Fungi; Basidiomycota; Pucciniomycetes; Pucciniales; Coleosporiaceae.